This 258-nucleotide ribosomal RNA is filed under the name uncultured prokaryote. RNAcentral describes it as "partial 16S ribosomal RNA". It matches the Rfam family "Bacterial small subunit ribosomal RNA", at positions 521 to 777 of the family's 1533-position model. The record is from RNAcentral.
UAAUACGUAGGGGGCGAGCGUUGUCCGGAUUUAUUGGGCGUAAAAGGCUUGUAGGCGGCCACGCCAAGUCGGAUGUGAAAUCUCCCGGCUCACCUGGGAGCGGUCAUUCGAUACUGGCGGGCUCGAGGCAGGUAGGGGGAAGCGGAAUUCCCGGUGUAGUGGUGGAAUGCGUAGAUAUCGGGAGGAACACCAGUGGCGAAGGCGGCUUCCUGGACCUGUUCUGACACUGAGGAGCGAAAGCGUGGGGAGCGAUCCGGA